GACUGCACGUACACAUCGGCGUUCAAGGUGCGUCUCCUCUAUAAACUUGUGGGGGGGAGAAUAACAGGAAACAAUCCGGCGCUCUGUGUCAUCCUCUUCUGUCGCCAGUUCGGCGGGUUGACGCAUGUUUUCAGCACGGUGCCACUGGUUUCCAUGUCGCCAGUCAGCAGCACGUCAGUCGGAGGGGGAAAUUUGUGAAAGUGUCCAUGCGCCAGCUCACAGGUUUCCUUUUGAAUACUAGGGCAAGGCCGUGUGUUAGCAAAUAGCUUUGGUGCAUGACGUAGGAGAUGGACAAGACGGGAUCUGGAGGUCAUACCGUGCAUUUGUUAUAUCGUGUUGGCCUAAGGUUGUAGGUGUACAUGUUGGCCUAUCAAGCGUUUGUCGAUACUCCCCAUUUGUCCCUCCACUAGUCUCCACGGAGUUGUAUGAUGGCUGGUGGAUGGAAUGCAUUGUAUACUGACAGGGAGGCAAACAAGGUAUGUACAAUCAGUGGUGUAAAGUACUGAAGUAAAAAUACUUUAAACUACUACAGUAGCUUUUGGGGGUAUCUGUACAUUACUUGAAUAUUUAUAUUUUUGACUACUUUUACUUUUCCUUUUGUACAUUCCAAAAGAAAAUAUUGUAUUUCUUACUCCAUACAUUUUCCCUGACAUCCAAAAGUACUCGUUACAUUUUGAAUGCAUAGCAGGACAGGAAAAUAGCCAAAUUCACCACUUAUCAAUAGAACAUGUCAUCAUCCCUACUGCCUCUGUUCUGGCAGACUCACUAAACACAAAUGCAUCUUUUGUAAAUAAUGUCUGAGUGUUGGAGUGUGACCCUGGCUAUCCGAAAAAUGUAAAAACAGGAAAAUGGUGUCAUCUGCUUUGCUUAAUAUAAGGAAUUUUAAAUUAUUUAUAUGUUUACUUUUGAUACUUAAGUAUAUUUUAGCAAUUACAUUUACUUUUGAUACUUAAGUAUAUUUAGAACCAAACACUUUUAGACUUUUACUCAAGUAGUAUUUUACUGGCUGAUUUUCACUUUUACUUGAGUCCCACUGAUUAGUAUUUGUAUAUAUGUGUCCUUUGGUGCGUUGAUAAGUGUUGCAAUGUUCGUUGAUGCGUGUGAGUACCUGUGCUGUGUGUUUUGGGCUUUCGUGCCCUUGUGGAUUGAUCAGAUGAUUACGGGUUUCAUCCUGUGUGUUAAUCAUUGUGCGCGUGUGAAUUUAUUUGAGGUAUUCAUCGCUCUUUUGUUUGGGUUUCUACCUUGUGUGUUGUGUACGUGUUUGUUUGGUCUUUGUCCCCGUACCUUUACACGGCACACUGUAAUUAGGGGUAUAAGUUUAAAAAACGAUUCCGCAUUCCUGCGCCUGUCUCCCGAAUCAUCAUUGUUACCAACGUGACAGAAUAAUCGACCAUUGAGGAAGACUGCAGGAAUGGCCCAUCCGACGACGCUGUGACUGGUCCGUCCGGCACCGCCGCAACUUCGGCAGCUGCAACUGGGUUGUCUGAAGUCGUCACAACGGGUCUGUCCGACGACGCAACUUCAGCAGCCACAGCUGGCCCCUCCGACGCCGCCACAGCCGGUCCAUUCGAGGCUACUGGUCCGUCCGACACCACCGCAACUUCCUUCGGCAGCGGCAACUCUGGCCCGUCUGACAACGACGCAACUUCGGCAGCUGCAUCGGGUCCUGAUCGACCCGCACUUCGUUCCUGUGAUCGCCCACGAGAACGGUGUCGUUGCACUGCCAGUGCAGCACGUGAGGGGGAGGGUACUGUCACGGAUCCCUCCGGAACUUUCUUCACGCACACCUGUACCCUAUUCCCACUGAUUACUAUUUGUAAUAUAUGUGCCCUUUGGUUUCCAUUGGGGGGGGGUUGAUUAGUGUUACAAUGUCCGUUGGUGCGUGUGAGUACCUGUGCUGUGUGUUUUGGGCUUUCGUGCCCUCAGAUUACAAGUUUUGUCCCGUGUGUUAAUCAUUGUGCGCGUGUGUAUUUAUUCAAGGUACUCCUCACUCUUUUGUUUGGGUUUCAAGCCUGUGUGUUUUGUACGUUUUUGUUUGGUCUUCUUCCCCGUGCCUUUUUACAGCACGCCGUAAUUUGGUGUAUAACAAAAAAAACUAUUACGCAUUCCUGCGCCUGUCUCCCGAAUCAUUGUUACCAACGUGACAUAAGGUACUGUAUCUAUACUUUUACUCAAGUAUGCCAAUUGGAUACUUUUUCCACCACUGUGUACAAUUGGUAUUGGUUUGUCACAUAAUGUUAUACAGAUCACAUGUAGGCUAUCAUCUAAUUUGUAUUAAUGGUUUCUCUAAAACCUUAUAGCACUCAGUCACAGCAGCCAUCUUCUUCCUUCCUGAGCUCUUCAAUGUAGAUUCCAGACGUCUCUACGUUAUGGACAAGAUUUCAUCCUCCCUACACCGCUGAUGAAUAUAACUGGAAACCUGUUCGAUCACCAUGCACUGCGAAAUCAUUCUUGCUAUGGAUACGAAGGAUAUCAACAUAUUAACACGCCAGAGAAAAUAUUGACUGAACUUGGAGCUCUGCUGGGAGUUGACCUAAUAUUUAUAUUUUUGAAUUCUGCUUUGCCACUAAAAUCGUAAUAAACAUUGACUACUAAACUAUUGUGUUAUUGUUAUGCUGAUUCAUAAUACAAAUAAUGGGGGGAAACCCCAAAAGGUUAUUCAUGGAACCAUUCAAGUUGGGGUUUUUUAAGAACUUAGAGGUUCCCCCAGUUUCAAUUUGAAGAACCCCUAAAAGAUCUUCCAGGAACCUUUUCUUUUUAGAGUAUAAUACUUCUGACAGCAAAAUGUAUAACUCCGCCCAUAGCUUCUGGACUUUAUAGCACUCCCAGAAGGCAUGGAUUAUUGAGUCGUUGUUAGUUUUACACUUAAGACAUGCCUCUGCCGUUGUGCUGUAGAAUUUGUGAAUUUUGUCUUGUAUAAUAUAUUCUGUACAAUUGUUUAUACUGGAUUAAAAGUAC
This is a long non-coding RNA of Oncorhynchus masou masou (cherry salmon), 2958 nucleotides long. RefSeq lists it as uncharacterized. NCBI's taxonomy places the organism in Eukaryota, Metazoa, Chordata, Actinopteri, Salmoniformes, Salmonidae. The record is from RefSeq and is a predicted model, not a curated record. The transcript is spliced from 3 exons.